AGCGAUUUCUUUGGUCGGUUAGGUACUUUGGUUUGAAGUGAUACAACUAAGUCGAACUUACAAUGUUAAUGACCCUAGACUUCAUUUUGAGGCAGACAUCGAAUAACCCCAAGAGAAAAUGUCUUGAGUAUUACGUCCACUGGGCUAUGGGUUUUAACCCUGGAUUCUGACCACCGUGCUUCUGACGUUGUUGGACAGUUCUGAUUCUGACAGGUUAUGAGGCACGUGGACAGCUGUUAUCUCAGGAGGCGGUGCAGGACCAAUGAAGCCUUUCCACGGGGAGUAAAAAAUCUCACAGCACUACUUCUUCCCCUGGGAAGGUUGUGAAUGAUACUAUGCACAAAAUACAGAGUAUCAGUGGGUGCUCUAAGAUUGAGAGUCAACCCUGAAAGGAAAAGCAGGGACAACGAGGGUUCCUCCUUACAUCUCUUGUCCCGUCAGACAUUACAUGGACGCACAUGGCAUACCUCCCACUCAAUAUCUCAACGGAAUUCAUUUGGGACGAAAACAAGAUGCCGGUUUCCAAGGUGAGCGGCAACUGCCAUUCACUGAAGUGUCAGUCAAGGAAACAUUGUCGGCGGGGCUUCAUUCAUCGAAAAAAAAAAAAUCUGCAUCGAUCAAGUUCAGUUCGAGGACGAAGAGGACGUCAUGGUGGUCUUCAACUGGUUUGAGGAGUAUCACAUCCUCGGAAAGCUCCGCACCAACCACGGGAUCGGGAUAAGAAUUCCACCACAGCUUCCACCAGCCUUGUGGACCGUAGAGCCUCUCAUGGAAAACCACCAACCUCGAGGCACGAACUGCCUGGUGGCAUGGCAUCGGCGACUCGGGGUCCUGAUCAGAGAGACGCACCCUGGCCUCCUUUUCCUGCGCCGCCUGCGGGCUGAGCAGGAUCAGAUUGAGAGGGUAUGGAAAGUGCUGACCUGCACGGCCAACAGCGACCCCGAAAGAGUAUUUUACGUGGGGGUGCUAGCGGUCGAAUUAAA
RNAcentral lists this long non-coding RNA (983 nucleotides) under Ixodes scapularis (black-legged tick). RNAcentral's name for it is "uncharacterized LOC115332125, transcript variant X2". Lineage: Eukaryota; Metazoa; Arthropoda; Arachnida; Ixodida; Ixodidae. The record is from RNAcentral.